UACGGAGGUGGCAAGCGUUGCUCGGAAUCACUGGGCGUAAAGGGCGCGUAGGCGGGGAGGUAAGUCGGGUGUGAAAUCCCUCGGCCCAACCGAGGAACUGCGCCCGAGACUGCUUCUCUUGAGUCCCGGAGAGGAAGGUGGAAUUCCCGGUGUAGCGGUGAAAUGUGUAGAGAUCGGGAGGAACACCGGUGGCGAAGGCGGCCUUCUGGAGGUGACUGACGCUGAGGCGCGAAAGCGUGGGGAGCAAACGGG
This 252-nucleotide ribosomal RNA is filed under the name uncultured bacterium. Its description in RNAcentral is "partial 16S ribosomal RNA". It matches the Rfam family "Bacterial small subunit ribosomal RNA", at positions 524 to 776 of the family's 1533-position model. The record is from RNAcentral.